CUUGACUUUCCAGAUCAGCUUGUCCCUAUCUCCUUCUGCAAAUAGUACAACCAGUCUCCAACACCCCAAUGGAAAAAGGAUGUGAGGGCGAUCUGGCUGCGAAAUCUGUCACCCCAUUGAUCGCCAGGGUUGAUUCGGCUGAUCUGGCUGGCUAGGCGGGUGUCCCCUUCCUCCCUCACCACUCUAUGUGAGCCCCUCCUGAAGCUGCAUGCUCAGUCGUAGAGGAUGACCAUCCCUGAUGGAGGACGGGUCUUCGGUCAAGGGUAUACAAGGAGCUGCACUCCCCUGCUGGAACCUCCAAACGAGCUCUAACUGACAAAUAAAAAUUGUAUAUAUUUAUCAAGUAUAUCAUUUUGAAAAAUGCAUACAUUGUAGAAUGCUAAAUCAAGCUAAUUAACAUAUGCAUUACAUCACUUAUUUAUUCUUUUUUGUGGUGAGAACACUUAAAAUCUACUCUUUGCAAUUUUCAAAACUACAUGCUUUAUUAUUAAUUAUAAUCAGUAUGUUGUACAAUAGAUCUCUUGAACUUAUUCCUCCUACCUAAAAUUCCGUAUCCUUGUUUACUGGUUUUCAAUUUUUGUAACCAACCUAUAGUCAGAGUACAUAACACAUUCAGUCACAGAAUGAAAUGUAGAUGAUAUAAGGUAUGUUGAUGUAAAAAAACUGAUGGCUGAGGGAGGGUGAGAAAUGAGAAGGAAGAGAAAUUGAGUGGGAGAAGGCUGAGAAGUACCAAAUUCCUUGACUGACAGAGUGGGGAGUCACUUUAGGCCUAAAGUUGAUGAAUCAAGAAAACAAAUGCAAUUACAUCAUUGAAAGCUGUUAAUGUAUAUCAAACAGAAAUUGAAUACAAAACUUUUUUAAAAACUGGGAAGAGUAGGGGGUAUUGAGUUAAAUUCUUCAUCUCUUAUAAAGGGAAACAAUAGCUCAAAAUUGAAACAAAAAUCAAAACAGAGGUAUAUGCAUAUAUUUAAAGAAGGAACCACACAUGGAACAUAAAGAAAUGGUCAGAAGUGGGACUCAGAGAAGAGUGGACUAAAGAUGGGGAAAAAAGGGAGAGGGAUUCUAUUGUCAAUGUGUACCUUUCUAUGUCAUUUGAAUUAUUUCUAUGUGCAUUUAUACCUUUUACAUGUUUAAAAGAAAAAAAAAAUCAUUGGUAAAGUCCCAGCUCUCCGGACUCCUCACUGAAGCCAAUGAAGUGCACCAGCAAGAACAUAGGACAGGGUCAAAUUUAGAGUCUUCUCUGCUCUUGGAAAAAGCAUUUAAUUUCUCUGGACUUCCAAAGGCACCACCUGCAAAGGAGGCCAGUGGUAAAUCCAUUUACAUGUGAAAAAUACACAAAUGCAUACAUUUUUAAAUGCAAAAAAACAAAUACUUAAAAAACUCUACUUAACACUAACCUUAAUACUACUCGAUGAGACGCAUUACCCCCAUUUUGUUCGGACUCAGUAUACUGCAAUUUAAAGAUGAUACUAAAAUCUGUGAGGACACAAAUGGGGUGUUAGCCUGUGUCACAGCAACACAGCAAAGAAAGUGACAUAUAAUCUUUAAAAGUGAAGAAAAUGAUGAAAAUUAGCAAGAACUGCUCUUUGAUAAGCAGAAGAGCAGGCCAGUACCUCUGCUGACAACCUGAAAGUACCCUGCCUCCAAGCUGAGCAACGCUCAGGAUCCCAGAGACCGGCUGAGUUCCAUCUUCUAUUUACAGCUUAUGAAGAAGAUACCUAUACCUGAGCUCUCCCUUCUCAGGACUAACUAACCCAAGCAAUCAGACUGGGCUCAGAAUUAAGCCCAUCUGUGAAUUACAGCAGAUCCAAAAAGUCAUAAAGUCAUGGUUUUCAGUCUUGAAGCUAUGGAUCAAUUUUGCCUAGUUCAUGGCCCAGAACCUUCCUUCCCAGAGCAGUCCUACAGUGCAAAACCUUCAGGUGAAAGAAGAGAAACAAACUCAUCAAGCAUGUCGAUGCUCUAGCAUCAAAGUUCCCCAAGGAUACCUGGAAAUCUAUGAAACAUGUAGAUAACACAAGUUUUAAACCACUCUCUAAAAACACAAAGUUUGACCAAUGCUUAUCUAAUAACCAAUUUACGAGAAUUUUGUUUGUCUUUAAUUAACUCACAUCUACUUUAACAGAUCUAACAAUACUAUUUGCCUCCAAUAUUAACAAUAGAGAAAUAUAGUUUAAACUAGGGAUUGGCAAACUCUGAAAAGGGCCAGAGAGUAAAUAUUUUAGGUUUUGUGAGCCAGUUUCUGUCUUAACUACUAAACUAUGCCACUGUUGUGUGAAAGUGGUCAGAGACAAUUGGUAGAUGAAUGACCAUGGCUAUGUCAUGAAACAUUAUUAAACCACUUAAAAAUGUAAAAACCAUUCUUAGCACAUGGCCCUAUAAAGACAGGUGGCAGACAGAUUUCACUCAUAGUUAGCUGACUCAGCAGAGUUCAAAACCAGAGGCCUUGGAGACAAAAGAAGGAAGAUUAUUUGUCAAGAACUUCAUUCUUUCCCUAACCUCCCACCUCCACCCCACUUUCGUAAAAAAUGCUAUUUAGAGGACAAAAUGAAAUGAUCAGGAGGAAAGUCUCUAUCCACUCUCCUUAUUUUCCAGUUUCUUUCCCUGCUUUUUCUCAUCUCAAGAAGAUAUUUAAAAUGUUGUAACCAGAAUCAUCAAAAUUAACAGAAAUAAAAACAAUACACUGAAAAGUAAACAGUCUGCCUGAGAAAACUGCAGACAUUUCAAAACAUUUUUGCAGACAAUUUUUAUACUACCUUAUUAAUCAAUAUAUCUUAUCUUCCUAUGCUAAGAGGAAUAAAUCUGGAUAAGUGCCAACCUGUAAUUCAGCUGGAAGAAAGUAAAAGAUGAUCUAUUUACAAUGACCUGACCCUAAUGUUUUUCUCAGAAUACACACGUCCAAUUGGAAAAGAAUUUUUUUACGUUCCAUUAUAAGAAUCUUCCAUUUUUUCCUUCAACUUACCUAUGAACAUAAUCUAUCCUUGAAAUUUUUUGUAACAUACUACAAUCUAGAAUCCUAAAUGUGUAAGUGAAUUUCAGGCAUCCUGAGAAAGAAUAGAGUUCACCCAUCAAAAAAUGCUAAUUGGCUUUUUGAGCUUCGGCCUUUUGAUCAAUCCUUCCUAAAACACAGAAGUGCUAACGACAUGUACUGGGUAUAAAGAAGAGGCCACAGCCAACACAGUUUCAACAGGGAUGAUUCCCACUCCCAGAGGAUAUUGAGAGCAGUGUCUGGAGACAUUGUUGGUUCCUACAACUAGGGGUACAGAGAGAGAACAGUGAUGUUGGCAGAUAUCGGGUAGACAGCAAGGAUGCUGCUAGACACCCUACAACGCACAGGACAGCCCUUAACACGAAAGAAUUCUCUGGCCCAAAAUGUCAACAGCAAAGAGGUUACAAAGCCUGGAUAGAGGCAGCAAAUGGUAGAGUAUGUCCAGUUUUAAACUAAAGUACUUUCUCUUCUUUAGAAAACAGUAUGUUAGAUUUAGAAAUUUAACAUUAAGAUAUUUAAGAGAUACCAACCAGGCGCAGAGGCUCACGCCUGUAAUCCCAACAUGUUGGGAGGUCAAGGCGG
This 3568-nucleotide small nuclear RNA is filed under the name Homo sapiens (human). RNAcentral's name for it is "HSALNT0092718". The stretch from base 78 to 418 matches the Rfam family "7SK RNA". The record is from RNAcentral. Lineage: Eukaryota; Metazoa; Chordata; Mammalia; Primates; Hominidae.